AUGCAGAUGGUAUCCUCAGGCCGCACAGCGGUGAACAUUAAUGGGGAGAUCGGCCCGUUCUUCCCCACGUUCUGUGGGGUCCGCCAGGGUGACCCCUUCUCCCCAUUCCUGUUCAACAUAGUUGUUGAUGCGCUGGCGGCCAUUCUCGAUAAGGCCAAGGCGGCGGGACACAUUAAGGGGAUUGUCCCGCACCUUGUUGGAGGCAACGGGGUCUCCCUCCUCCAAUAUGCAGACGACACCAUUAUCAUGGUG
RNAcentral lists this ribosomal RNA (252 nucleotides) under Triticum aestivum (bread wheat). RNAcentral describes it as "partial small subunit ribosomal RNA". Lineage: Eukaryota; Viridiplantae; Streptophyta; Magnoliopsida; Poales; Poaceae. The record is from RNAcentral.